This 784-nucleotide ribosomal RNA is filed under the name uncultured bacterium. Its description in RNAcentral is "bacterial SSU rRNA". It matches the Rfam family "Bacterial small subunit ribosomal RNA", at positions 33 to 773 of the family's 1533-position model. The record is from RNAcentral.
ACGCUGGCGGCGUGCCUAAUACAUGCAAGUCGAACGCCUUGUGGUUUUAAUGAAUAGCGUGCUUGCACAAUAUGAUUUAAAACAAUGCAAGGAGUGGCGAACGGGUGAGUAACACGUGGGAAACCUACCUCUUAGCAGGGGAUAACAUUUGGAAACAGAUGCUAAUACCGUAUAACACUAAAAACCGCAUGGUUUUUAUUUGAAAGAUGGUUCUGCUAUCACUAAGAGAUGGUCCCGCGGUGCAUUAGUUAGAUGGUGAGGUAAUGGCUCACCAUGACGAUGAUGCAUAGCCGAGUUGAGAGACUGAUCGGCCACAAUGGGACUGAGACACGGCCCAUACUCCUACGGGAGGCAGCAGUAGGGAAUCUUCCACAAUGGGCGCAAGCCUGAUGGAGCAACGCCGCGUGUGUGAUGAAGGGUUUCGGCUCGUAAAGCACUGUUGUAAGAGAAGAAUGUACUUGAGAGUAACUGUUCAAGUAGUGACGGUAUCUUACCAGAAAGGGACGGCUAAAUACGUGCCAGCAGCCGCGGUAAUACGUAUGUCCCAAGCGUUAUCCGGAUUUAUUGGGCGUAAAGCGAGCGCAGACGGUUAUUUAAGUCUGAAGUGAAAGCCCUCAGCUCAACUGAGGAAUUGCUUUGGAAACUGGAUGACUUGAGUGCAGUAGAGGAAAGUGGAACUCCAUGUGUAGCGGUGAAAUGCGUAGAUAUAUGGAAGAACACCAGUGGCGAAGGCGGCUUUCUGGACUGUAACUGACGUUGAGGCUCGAAAGUGUGGGUAGCAAAC